Molecule: long non-coding RNA, 734 nt
Organism: Haplochromis burtoni (Burton's mouthbrooder)
Lineage: Eukaryota; Metazoa; Chordata; Actinopteri; Cichliformes; Cichlidae
Exons: 3
Source: RefSeq, a predicted model, not a curated record
UUGGCAGUCAUUGAACGCAUCACAGUGCCGUGAGCAAAGGCCUAGUCCAACUGCAAAAUUUCUUCUUUUCCUCCCGUCGAUCUGGUGAGAUGCAUGCUGUUCUGGUGCCCUCUGCGUUCUGGAAACCUGGAGAGAGAAAUCAUGAAGCGGUACGCGCUGAGCCGAGUCCGACAAGCAUUCGCCAUUACACCAACUCCUCUGCAUCCUGGUGUGUGUAGGCUGGUUUUUCCUUUGGUAUCCUGUUACUACUGGAUGAUGUUCCUCAUCUGAUGACUCCACUGAAACAUCCUACCUGGUAGAUGGUCGUUGCUGCAAGUGGAUGCUUCUGCUUUCUGGAUGCGGUUACUGGAUACUACACCAUUCCAACAGGGCGGUAGGAACAAAUUGGAGGGCCCCAACGUUGCACUUUACCUUUCCCUGAGCUCAGGGUUUGUUUUGUUUUGUUUUGUUUUUGUUUUUUUGGCCAAAGGACCUUGAAAAGUGUUUUGGUUUUUUUGGGAACACUGAGUGGAAAGACAGUAGAAGAAAAGGGUUAUUGUUUAAAAUUGUGUUUUAAUAAAUGUGUCUAUGUUAAGUGAGUGUGGUGUUCGUUGUGUGCUGGAGGUCUUGCUGUUCCUAUGGUGGAGCAGCUACUACCAAACUCCUUUACGAAACUAGCCUCUGAUGGGUUACAGAGUUUUGGGACACAUUUCAAUUCUUGUAACCUCUUUCUAUACAAAUUGUGAUUUCAUUUU